RNAcentral lists this ribosomal RNA (158 nucleotides) under uncultured bacterium. RNAcentral's name for it is "partial 16S ribosomal RNA". It matches the Rfam family "Bacterial small subunit ribosomal RNA", at positions 1343 to 1500 of the family's 1533-position model. The record is from RNAcentral.
CGCAGAUCAGCAUGCUGCGGUGAAUACGUUCCCGGGCCUUGUACACACCGCCCGUCACACCAUGGGAGUCGGUAACACCCGAAGCCUGUAGUCUAACCGCAAGGAGGACGCAGUCGAAGGUGGGAUUGAUGACUGGGGUGAAGUCGUAACAAGGUAUC